Molecule: long non-coding RNA, 624 nt
Organism: Tarenaya hassleriana
Lineage: Eukaryota; Viridiplantae; Streptophyta; Magnoliopsida; Brassicales; Cleomaceae
Exons: 2
Source: RefSeq, a predicted model, not a curated record
UUUUCUUCAUCUCUCACUUCUUCUUGCUACUAGCUUGUUCACAAGAAAAAAGCAAUGGCUUCCAAAGCUUUGAUUCUGGUGGGUCUCUUUGUUGUUCUUCUCGUGGCCUCGGAGGUCGCAGCCAGAGAUCUCGCUGAAACCUCGACCGAGAAGAACAGCGAAGCCACCGAGGAGGCACAGCACCCUGACGGACUCGGACCAUUCAAAGGUCUCAUAGGCAGAAUCCCUGUCAAACCCCCCAGACCUGGCAACCGUGGCGGACCAGGAGGUGGCUGCCCCAACGGUGCCUGCCGCAAAGGAUUCUUUCGCUGCAAAAAGUGUUGCUGAUCUUACGCCGGCGAGGCUGUCCAAACUCAGCCGGAGAACGAGCCUGGUCACUAGACCUAUAUAUAUAUCUAUAUAUAUAUAUAUAUAGUUAGUGUGUGUGUGUGUGUAUGUGUAUGUGUAUGUACGUACGUACACUAGGGCCAUGCAUAAUUGUGGAUUUACGUAUACGCUCUCGUGUCUAUGUGUAGGAGAAACCUCAUGGGGCUUUGAUGAUGAAGUACGUGUGUAUAUGCAUAGACUAAAUAAAAACUUCGUGGAAGUUUCUGCUUUUCAUUCUAUAUAUAUACCACGUUCUCA